Molecule: transfer RNA, 843 nt
Filed under: uncultured Synechococcus sp.
Lineage: Bacteria; Bacillati; Cyanobacteriota; Cyanophyceae; Synechococcales; Synechococcaceae
Description: 16S-23S ribosomal RNA intergenic spacer
Rfam family: tRNA (bases 281-353)
Source: RNAcentral
CAGGGAGACAAACCUAAUCGUGAUGUCUGAGUAAAUUUAGUCUCAGGCCAUGAUUCUGUCACCUUAGGUCGAUCGGUACCUCAAGGAGCGGAUGGGAGAACCUGAGCAAUCAGGGGAGACCUAUUUGCUUUUUCAGUUUCUAAACGUUGUCUAGGUCACCCCAUAGCUCCUGGGCCAUUAGCUCAGGUGGUUAGAGCGCACCCCUGAUAAGGGUGAGGUCCCUGGUUCAAGUCCAGGAUGGCCCAUGCACCGCCUGCUAAGCAGGCAGGACUUGCUGGCUGGGGGUUUAGCUCAGUUGGUAGAGCGCCUGCUUUGCAAGCAGGAUGUCAGCGGUUCGAGUCCGCUAACCUCCAUAUCAACGGAGAAACCCACAAGCGCAAGCAAGUGAGCUGAGCGGGAGUGAACCAGACAGGGAAGGAGAGGAGCUGAGGAUGACUCCAGCCUUCAGGAUUGGGGCGCAAAGCAGCGCACCGGUUCAUACUGUAUCGCAAUGGAUCGGUAUGAAUGAAGAGAUCUUGAAUGCUGGACUCACAGCUUUCAACGAGAGUUGAGAGUUGAGAUGUUCAGCGAAGAACCUUGACAACUGCAUAGGUGAGUCUGGAAAGAAAGCAUCUCAUGGAUGUCCAGUGAAAGCUGGAGAUUCUAUUGAGUUUAGAGCCGAGACUUUCCAGUGUUCUUCCAAGUAUCUAGCCAAUCCAGCUGGGGAAAGGGAGUUUGAUUGUGGCAUUCAAACCACGAGCCACUUUACUGAGGAGCUACCAAAAGUAGGGAUUCAGGGAAGUGAGUGAGCAGGUGAAUCCGCGAGAAUAGGCCUCAACAGCCUGAAGCACUGGGAAGGAAAUU